Long non-coding RNA from Canis lupus familiaris (dog), 1000 nucleotides. RefSeq lists it as uncharacterized. NCBI's taxonomy places the organism in Eukaryota, Metazoa, Chordata, Mammalia, Carnivora, Canidae. The transcript has 3 exons. The record is from RefSeq and is a predicted model, not a curated record.
UGCCCAAAGUUCUCCCUUUCACUCUGUGAAGACACAAUGAGAAGAUGGCCAUCUGUGAACCAGGAGAAAAUUCCUUAUCAGACACCAAAUCUGCCAACAACUUGAUCUUGGACUUCCAGAACUGUGAAACAGUUGUUUAUAAGCCACCUAGUCUGUGGUAUUGCAUUAGAGAAGCUGAAUGGACUGAGAUAGCUCCCCUUAAAUGGAACAAAUUAUUGUUCCAAGUUCCACAAAAUCCCUCGGAAACAUUCUAAAACACAUCACCUUUUCCAAUGGUGAAUCAUUUUUGAACUUCACAGCACAUUUUCUCUUUGAUUGAAAACAUGGAUUUUUGAAAAAAGCUUAAUUAAAGGCACCCCAUGAAAACUUCUAUAAAGGUUCUUCAACAGAGGUGAAGUGCAAGCCAGUAUUUAGUGCCCAAGCAAAUUACCUGAAAAUGAGAGGCUGGAGCUGACCCAAGUCAGACCUCAUCAGCAUUCAGUAAUACAGGUACAAGGUGAAUAAAAGAAGAGGCAAGACAUGUGGAAAAGGGUUCGAUCAAAGAAGAGCAGUGAAGCAGAAAAUAAGGACAUUGCCAGGUUGCUUGGCCCCGAUUUCAUGUACCUUACAAGCUGUUUAUUACAACAAUGUGAAGUCUCCUGAUCUACCUAAGUGUGCCUUUUCUUACACUAUGGUUCUUCUAUCUGGGGGAAACCUGGCUGUGUUGUACAUCAGCCUUGGUUUUAGAGAAAGAAAAUGAAAUUAUGCAUUAGUUUGAAGGAGAGAAUGCUCCCAGCUCCCUGAUGUGAAAAAAAAUGGAGUAAGGCAGGAAGCAAGAGCAAGUUCUGCUUUGCACUCUGCUUUUGUCCUUGACAACUGCUCUCAAAAGCUCAGACCAUGAACUGCCCUCCUAGAUUUGUUUGAACUUUUUCUUUUUUUUUUUUUUUUGUUUGAACUUUUUCUAAUGCACUUUAGUGCAUUUUUAUUUCUCCUCCCAGGUAGUUUUCUUAAAAUCUUUACU